Molecule: ribosomal RNA, 405 nt
Filed under: uncultured bacterium
Lineage: Bacteria
Description: partial 16S ribosomal RNA
Rfam family: Bacterial small subunit ribosomal RNA
Source: RNAcentral
AUUGAACGCUAGCGGGAUGCUUUACACAUGCAAGUCGAACGAGUGGCGGACGGGUGAGUAAUAUAUGGGAACGUGCCCAGUAGAGGGGGAUAACUACUCGAAAGAGUGGCUAAUACCGCAUACUAUUGGAGCGGCCGAUAUGAGAUUAGCUAGUUGGUGGGGGAAAGGCUAACCAAGGCAACGAUCAGUAGCUGGUUUGAGAGGAAGACCAGCCACACUGGGACUGAGACACGGCCCAGACUCCUACGGGAGGCAGCAGUGGUGAAUUUUGGACAAUGGGUGAAACCCUGAUCCAGCCAUCCCGCGUGUAUGAGAAGGCCUUAGGGUUGUAAAGUACUUUUAGCAGAGAAGCGGUAUCUGCAGAAUAAGCACCGGCUAACUACGUGCCAGCAGCCGCGGUAAUUC